AUUUUUUUUAGGCAGGUGUCAUUCUGGUGUCAAGGUCUCCAUCUUUCAAGCAAGCUUACAUAUGCAUGGGAAGUUUAUUGCUUUAUUCCUUUCCUUAAGCUGCUCCUACACACUGGCUUUUUUUGAGCAGUGGCCCUCGUUUACUUUUGUUUUGUCAGGAUGCUCAGAGGGGGAUUUGUGAUGUGGGGAACUCUCCUGGAGCUCCCUUCCUUCCUUCCUUCCUUCCUUCCUUCCUUCCUUCCUUCCUUCCUUCCUUCCUUCCUUCCUUCCUUCCUUCCUUCCUUCCUUCCUUCCUUCCUNUCCUUCCUUCCUUCCUUCCUUCCUUCCUUCCUUCCUUCCUUCCUUCCUUCCUUCCUUCCAUUUUACUGAUUCAAAGGGACAAAAUAAGUUUAAAAUGCAUUUGAUGCAUUAUUUGCUUGCUGUUUCCUUCAAGGGAGGAGAAAGCCAGAAAAGUACGGUGGAUGAAAAAUCCAAUUACCACUUGAAAAUGUGGUCGACUCCAUCAAACCGUAUGAUCCUUCAGCGAGAGGGCAUUAUUGUUCUUACGUCGAAUCUCUUCGGGAAGGCGACAGUGUGCCAGGUUGUUUCUCAAGACAGGACUGAGGCAGGACACAGAACCCAAAUCCAGCUUUGGGAUGAGCUUGCGCCGUACCUUGGGACUCAGAAUCAUCUGCGGAUUCCCGUGGGGGAAAACCAACACAGCAUCAUAGCCUUGCCUCCUGCACACCAUUAGACUUACUGGAGAAAUAAAACCAUAUGCCUUUGCCUGUUACCA
Molecule: long non-coding RNA, 775 nt
Filed under: Anser brachyrhynchus (Pink-footed goose)
Lineage: Eukaryota; Metazoa; Chordata; Aves; Anseriformes; Anatidae
Description: lncRNA (ENSABRG00000015929.1)
Source: RNAcentral